RNAcentral lists this unclassified non-coding RNA (217 nucleotides) under plant metagenome. RNAcentral's name for it is "partial contains small subunit ribosomal RNA, internal transcribed spacer 1, and 5.8S ribosomal RNA". The record is from RNAcentral.
UCUCCGUUGGUGAACCAGCGGAGGGAUCAUUACCGAGUUAUCAACUCCCAAACCCCUGUGAACAUACCCAACGUUGCUUCGGCGGGACCGCCCCGGCGCCCUCGGCGUCCCGGAACCAGGCGCCCGCCGGAGGACCCAAACUCUUGUUUUUAUACAGUAUCUUCUGAGUAAAUGAUUAAAUAAAUCAAAACUUUCAACAACGGAUCUCUUGGUUCUG